This 253-nucleotide ribosomal RNA is filed under the name uncultured bacterium. RNAcentral's name for it is "partial 16S ribosomal RNA". It matches the Rfam family "Bacterial small subunit ribosomal RNA", at positions 524 to 776 of the family's 1533-position model. The record is from RNAcentral.
UACGUAGGUGGCGAGCGUUGUCCGGAAUUACUGGGCGUAAAGGAUGCGUAGGUGGGUUAGUAAGUCAGAUGUGAAAUCCCCGAGCUUAACUUGGGUAGUGCAUUUGAAACUAUUAAUCUAGAGUGCAGGAGAGGUAAGUGGAAUUCCUAGUGUAGCGGUGAAAUGCGUAGAUAUUAGGAAGAACACCAGUGGCGAAGGCGACUUACUGGACUGUAACUGACACUGAGGCAUGAAAGCGUGGGGAGCAAACAGG